Long non-coding RNA from Suricata suricatta (meerkat), 737 nucleotides. RefSeq lists it as uncharacterized. The transcript is spliced from 4 exons. Lineage: Eukaryota; Metazoa; Chordata; Mammalia; Carnivora; Herpestidae. The record is from RefSeq and is a predicted model, not a curated record.
CCUCAUCAUUGGUGGUCACCAGUGCAGUAGGCUUGAGAAGCACUGGAAAGUCCCACCAGCUCCCAUGAUAAGUUGUAAUCACCUAUUUCAAAGAACCGAGAGCGUCAGACAACUGAAAACCCAAGAUGCAGAUUGACAAGAAGGCAGAAGACACACCUUCCUGAGAGCAGAGGUGGUGAACUGGAAGAAGUAACGGGUGGAACAACCGUCAGGGUCUCCAGCUUCUCUAACUUGGAAGGCGUCACUAGUUAGGUUUUGUCAAGAAAGAGUGUAAGGCACGAAAGGAACAGUCCCACCUAGAAGCCUCUGCGGUGGACGACGGAGGGACCGAACUCGGCAGAAUCCUGCUUUUCAACCUACUUCUGCUGGAAGGAGCUCUGUGUUUCCACGUUACCCGUGCUGAAGUGUGGAGUGGCUUCCACCUGCCAUCAGAGGAGCAGUGAGAAGUAUAACCACAGAGUUGUGUGACUGCACCAACAUGAAGCCGGCCCAGCUCUUCAAGGAACAGGUUUCCGCUGCAGUGCCUGGAGUAAGAGGUGGGACCACAGAGAUUCUGAAAUACCUACGAGGCCUCCAAUAUGAUCAACGCUAUGAGUAAAACUCUCUAUUGGGAAGGAAAUACACUUUCAUCUGAUCCAGAGUGCUUGACUUCACUUGGCAUGUAAAAAAUCUCACUCAUGUCAAUUUCCUUCAUUUCCCAAGGAGGAAAACUCAAAAUUAAAAACUCCAAUGACUUA